GAUGAACGCUGGCGGCGUGCCUAACACAUGCAAGUCGAGCGAGAUAAAUGUGAGUGGAGACUUCGGUCAAAGCGAUCAUUUUGAAAGCGGCGGACGGGUGAGUAACGCGUGAGCAAUCUGCCCCAUACAAAGGGAUACCCACUGGAAACGGUGAUUAAUACCUUAUAAGACCACGAAGUCGCCUGGCUUAGUGGCCAAAGAUUUAUCGGUAUGGGAUGAGCUCGCGUCUGAUUAGCUAGUUGGUGAGGUAAUGGCUCACCAAGGCGACGAUCAGUAGCCGACCUGGGAGGGUGAACGGCCACACUGGAACUGAGACACGGUCCAGACUCCUACGGGAGGCAGCAGUGGGGAAUAUUGCACAAUGGGCGCAAGCCCGAUGCAGCAACGCCGCGUGAAUGAUGAAGGCCUUCGGGUCGUAAAGUUCUGUCCUAAGGGAAGAAUACAGUGACGGUACCUUAGGAGGAAGCCCCGGCUGACUACGUGCCAGCAGCCGCAGUAA
RNAcentral lists this ribosomal RNA (499 nucleotides) under uncultured bacterium. Its description in RNAcentral is "partial 16S ribosomal RNA". It matches the Rfam family "Bacterial small subunit ribosomal RNA", at positions 28 to 523 of the family's 1533-position model. The record is from RNAcentral.